UCGUUUCUUCUCCUCACGACCCUCGAUGUCUUUGUUAUCAUCGUUUGGACUUUGGAGGCCAUGAAAUAGCGAGAACAAAGAGAAGGAGAACAAAGAGAAGGACAGAGCAUAGACCUCUGGUAAUUGUUCGUGGAGCCCUAAUUUCUUCUCCAUCUUCCACCGACUCAGGGUUUGAGAUUUGAGAUUUAGGUCAAUGGCUCCUUCAUCUUCUAUAAAACUCUACAAGAACAUAAGCCUGGAUCGUAAGAAGCAUUCUCAGGAUCACCACUUUUCCCAUUCAAGAAUAGAAGGGGGGUCAAGAACAUCAUCGGACAGUUCGUAAUUCUAAUUCUGGUACCAUUCUCAUCUUUCUUCGGUGGUCAGCUUUGUUGUCGCUGGUCAUCAUCGACCAUUAAGCCAUGGUGAAGAAGUUGCUAUUGAGCUGCCAAAGCUCCGCGCGUAAGGAUACAUGUUCUAGGUGCACUAUGUAUAAGUGAUAUAUUCAGCCAUUGUUUGCUAUCUAGCGAUCUGUUGUUUGUGAGGUUGAUGAAGAUGAUUAUCUUUGGACACACAACAAGAGCAACAUUUUGGCAUGGUUACAUAAGUCUCUUACCAGAAAAUCAGAAAUAGCUCAAUGUAUUGCUACUGGUCGGUCGACGAACAUGGCUUGGAGGUAUCUUUAACCGUACAGGCCCCAAGAGUUCGGGAAGUAACAAAUACGUUGAUUUUAACUUCACUUCUGUUCAGGUAGCAGGAUAUCAGAGGCUGCGAGAACGUACCAAGUACCUUAUGACGAUACUCGUGUAGAGCAUCAGCGUCUGGAUUUGAAGAAGACACGGCUUCAGAGAUACUUGAUGCAUCAAACGAGAUCGCACAUUUCCUCGCACGGGCAGUUAUUGACGAUCCCCUCGCUCUAUUGAAUCUGGCUGAUAUAAGGAACCAGUUAGCACCAAAUUGCAACGGGAGUGAGACAGCUCAUGUGGCUCAGUCACUUAUAGGAGUGAGAGACUAUUGAGGUCUUGGGGUGGUGGGACGGGUAGGUAAUGGCAUACGUCAAGAAAAAAAAUCAUAAAAUUACUUGAAGAAUACGAGAGCGGGGGUGUUGUUGGUGAGGCAUGUGAGUGCAUCCGCGAUCCGGGAAUGCUGUUUUUUAACCAUGAGGUAGGAACAAGGCGUUGGUGAUGGCUAUGGAGAAGAAUGACAGGAUACUGGAUUUGUUGCAAGAGUGUUAUGGCAAGGGACUGAUUACUACUAAUCAAAUGACAAAAGGGUUUGGUAGGGCUAAAUACGGUCUCAAUGACCUGGCACUUAAUAUUCCUGAUGCUGAUGACAAGUUUAAGGUUCACUAUGAGCAUGUUGUGGUUAGAGGGUGGUUGGUUCCUGUGUAACUAUGACGCAUCAUAAGGUACUAGGUAGCUGGCUCGCUAGACUUGCUUCUUUUGAAGAAGGGUUGUGCAGAAGACAAUAUUAAACCUUUCUUCAGGUGGACCACCAAUACAAUAAAAAGCAUUUGUAUUCUCAAAGUUUUCAUCUGCAGUGCAAUCGUACUCCCAAUUAAAGAGUUACUUAUAAACCUUUGUAAAGUGAACUCAUUCAUACCCAAAUUAGCGAUAUUUACAUGUGUUAAAAGGAUUGUUGAUUCAAGCUCAUACGAGAAAGAUGUUUUGGAGUCGUAAGCAACUGAUGUGAGUGCAUGUGAAAAGCUGUCCUAAGAAGCUGGCUCGAUCUUGAAAUGGCUUAAGUAGGUCGGAACGUAUGUCGAAAACAAGAAGCAAGUUUUAGUGACACUAUAAUUUUCUGUGAUAUUAGUCCGGAUACCCGCCGCAAUGCGCGAACAUUUUAACUAUUAUAUAUACACCCACGCAUAUAUGAUUUUUUAAUGUUUUAGGUUUAAAUUAUGUUCUCGGGUCAUACUGUCAACUCCGCUGCAACGCGCGGGUUUCCCACU
This 1927-nucleotide long non-coding RNA is filed under the name Helianthus annuus (common sunflower). Lineage: Eukaryota; Viridiplantae; Streptophyta; Magnoliopsida; Asterales; Asteraceae. The record is from RNAcentral.